This 306-nucleotide ribosomal RNA is filed under the name uncultured bacterium. RNAcentral describes it as "partial 16S ribosomal RNA". It matches the Rfam family "Bacterial small subunit ribosomal RNA", at positions 507 to 809 of the family's 1533-position model. The record is from RNAcentral.
GACAGCAGCCGCCGCGGGAAUACGUAGGUGGCAAGCGUUGUCCGGAAUUAUUGGGCGUAAAGCGCGCGCAGGCGGCCUAUCCAGUCUGUCUUAAAAGUUCGGGGCUCAACCCCGUGAUGGGAUGGAAACUAGUAGGCUAGAGUAUCGGAGAGGAAAGCGGAAUUCCUAGUGUAGCGGUGAAAUGCGUAGAUAUUAGGAAGAACACCAGUGGCGAAGGCGGCUUUCUGGACGAAAACUGACGCUGAGGCGCGAAAGCCAGGGGAGCGAACGGGAUUAGAUACCCCCGUAGUCCCUGUCUCUUAUACA